GAUGAACGCUGGCGGCGUGCCUAAUACAUGCAAGUCGAGCGAACGGACGAGAAGCUUGCUUCUCUGAUGUUAGCGGCGGACGGGUGAGUAACACGUGGAUAACCUACCUAUAAGACUGGGAUAACUUUGGGAAACCGGAGCUAAUACCGGAUAAUAUUUUGAACCGCAUGGUUCAAAAGUGAAAGACGGUCUUGCUGUCACUUAUAGAUGGAUCAGCGCUGCAUUAGCUAGUUGGUAAGGUAACGGCUUACCAAGGCAACGAUGCAUAGCCGACCUGAGAGGGUGAUCGGCCACACUGGAACUGAGACACGGUCCAGACUCCUACGGGAGGCAGCAGUAGGGAAUCUUCCGCAAUGGGCGAAAGCCUGACGGAGCAACGCCGCGUGAGUGAUGAAGGUCUUCGGAUCGUAAAACUCUGUUAUUAGGGAAGAACAUAUGUGUAAGUAAAUGUGCACAUCUUGACGGUACCUAAUCAGAAAGCCACGGCUAACUACGUG
Molecule: ribosomal RNA, 497 nt
Filed under: uncultured bacterium
Lineage: Bacteria
Description: partial 16S ribosomal RNA
Rfam family: Bacterial small subunit ribosomal RNA
Source: RNAcentral